GAUGAACGCUGGCGGCGUGCCUAAUACAUGCAAGUCGAGCGAACGGACGAGAAGCUUGCUUCUCUGAUGUUAGCGGCGGACGGGUGAGUAACACGUGGAUAACCUACCUAUAAGACUGGGAUAACUUCGGGAAACCGUAGCUAAUACCGGAUAAUAUUUUGAACCGCAUGGUUCAAAAGUGAAAGACGGUCUUGCUGUCACUUAUAGAUGGAUCCGCGCUGCAUUAGCUAGUUGGUAAGGUAACGGCUUACCAAGGCAACGAUGCAUAGCCGACCUGAGAGGGUGAUCGGCCACACUGGACCUGAGACACGGUCCAGACUCCUACGGGAGGCAGCAGUAGGGAAUCUUCCGCAAUGGGCGAAAGCCUGACGGAGCAACGCCGCGGGAGUGAUGAAGGUCUUCGGAUCGUAAAACUCUGUUAUUAGGGAAGAACAUAUGUGUAAGUAACUGUGCACAUCUUGACGGUACCUAAUCAGAAAGCCACGGCUAACUACGU
RNAcentral lists this ribosomal RNA (496 nucleotides) under uncultured bacterium. RNAcentral describes it as "partial 16S ribosomal RNA". It matches the Rfam family "Bacterial small subunit ribosomal RNA", at positions 28 to 506 of the family's 1533-position model. The record is from RNAcentral.